Molecule: ribosomal RNA, 302 nt
Filed under: uncultured bacterium
Lineage: Bacteria
Description: bacterial SSU rRNA
Rfam family: Bacterial small subunit ribosomal RNA
Source: RNAcentral
CCUGAACGCUGGCGGCGUGGCUAAGACAUGCAAGUCGUACGGGACCCGCAAGGGUUCAGUGGCGGACGGGUGAGUAAUGAAUCGCUAAUGUACCCUCUUGUCUGGGAUAGCCGGCCGAAAGGCCGGGUAAUACCAGAUUAUAUAACCGAAUCGCAUGGUUUGGUUCUCAAAGGGAAACCGCAGGAGGAGCAGGCGAUUUCGUAUCAGCUUGUUGGUGAGGUAACGGCUCACCAAGGCGACGACGCGUAGCUGGUCUGAGAGGACGGCCAGCCACAUUGGGACUGAGACACUGCCCAGACUCC